UAGCGGAGGAAAAGAAACCAACAGGGAUUGUCUUAGUAACGGCGAGUGAAGCGACAAAAGCUCAAAUUUGAAAUCUGGCACCUUCGGUGUCCGAGUUGUAAUUUGAAGAAGGUAACUUUGGAGUUGGCUCUUGUCUAUGUUCCUUGGAACAGGACGUCACAGAGGGUGAGAAUCCCGUGCGAUGAGAUGUCCAACUCUAUGUAAAGUGCUUUCGAAGAGUCGAGUUGUUUGGGAAUGCAGCUCUAAGUGGGUGGUAAAUUCCAUCUAAAGCUAAAUAUUGGCGAGAGACCGAUAGCGAACAAGUACAGUGAUGGAAAGAUGAAAAGAACUUUGAAAAGAGAGUGAAAAAGUACGUGAAAUUGUUGAAAGGGAAGGGUUUGAGAUCAGACUUGGUAUUUUGUAUGUCUUGCUUUCGGGUGGGGCCUCUGCAGUUUACUGGGCCAGCAUCGGUUUGGACGGUAGGAUAAUGACAUUGGAAUGUGGCACUACUUCGGUGGUGUGUUAUAGACUUUGUUGAUACUACCUGUCUAGACCGAGGACUGCGUCUUUGACUAGGAUGCUGGCAUAAUGAUCCUAAACCGCCCGUCUU
This 589-nucleotide ribosomal RNA is filed under the name Scheffersomyces sp. D10. Its description in RNAcentral is "eukaryotic LSU rRNA". It matches the Rfam family "Eukaryotic large subunit ribosomal RNA", at positions 48 to 655 of the family's 3401-position model. Lineage: Eukaryota; Fungi; Ascomycota; Pichiomycetes; Serinales; Debaryomycetaceae. The record is from RNAcentral.